CUUGGUCAUUUAGAGGAAGUAAAAGUCGUAACAAGGUUUCCGUAGGUGAACCUGCGGAAGGAUCAUUAUCGUAGGGCUUCGGCCCUGUCGAGAUAGAACCCUUGCCUUUUUCGAGUACCGUCCGUUUCCCCAGCAGGCUUGCCUGCUACUGGGGACCCAAAACCAAACUCUUUUGUACCUGUAAUCGUCUGAAAACAAAACAAAAAUUAAAACUUUUAACAACGGAUCUCUUGGUUCUGGCAUCGAUGAAGAACGCAGCGAAAUGCGAUAAGUAGUGUGAAUUGCAGAAUUCAGUGAAUCGUCGAAUCUUUGAACGCACAUUGCGCCCUUUGGUAUUCCUUAGGGCAUGCCUGUUCGAGCGUCAUUUAAACCCUCAAGCUCCGCUUGGUGUUGGGUGUCUGUCCUGCCCCCCGGGGCCGGGACUCGCCUUGAAAUCAUUGGCGGCUAGUACAUUGGCUUCGAGCGCAAGCAGAAACGCGAACCUCGGGUCCCGGUGUAUUGGCUCCCAUAAGCUACCCUUCUAUUUUGACCUCGGAUCAGGUAGGGAUACCCGCUGAACUUAAGCAUAUCAAUAAGCGGAGGAAAAGAAACCAACAGGGAUUGCCCUAGUAACGGCGAGUGAAGCGGCAAGAGCUCAAAUUUGAAAUCUGGUCCUUUUAGGGCCCGAGUUGUAAUUUGUAGAGGGUGCUUUGGCGUUGGCUGUGGUCUAAGUUCCUUGGAACAGGACGUCGCAGAGGGUGAGAAUCCCGUAUGUGGCCGCCAGCCUCCGCCGUGUAAAGCCCCUUCGACGAGUCGAGUUGUUUGGGAAU
This 809-nucleotide small RNA is filed under the name uncultured Dothideomycetes. RNAcentral's name for it is "eukaryotic LSU rRNA". The stretch from base 527 to 809 matches the Rfam family "Eukaryotic large subunit ribosomal RNA", at positions 1 to 281 of the family's 3401-position model. The record is from RNAcentral. Lineage: Eukaryota; Fungi; Ascomycota; Dothideomycetes.